UAAAAUAAAAUAAAUUAUUAAUUUAUGUUAUUUAUGUUUUGUUAACAUACAUUUUACAAAAACAAACUAGUCUUUGGGGUUUAGACCGUUAUCAAACCAGUUAAAUGCUGAUCUAAUUCUUUUGUUUUAGUUAGAGAAACCAUGUUUAUGAUUAAUGUAGCCGAAAGAGGUAUUUCCGGUUGUAUCCAUCGAGAAGUCUAGUCCCAUGAGCAACCAUCAUUGGAAAAUAAACGAAUUUUCUAGAUUUUUAAUUCAAGAAGAAACGAUGGACAAGCUACAGAAAGAUAAUAUACAGAAAAUUGAAAUUAAAAAACCAAGGACGUAACGUAUAAACAAAUACAACUGGUAGAGGUAGCGUGGUAUGUCACACAUUGGAUGGCAAUACGUUAUUCGAAAUAAUGAUGAGUCGUUCGCUUUCGGCAGCUUAUUACUAAGGUUUUUUUUUUUGUAAAUUCGAUACUUUACUAUAAAAAAUAUAGACGUACUCUGUGCGCAAUAUUAUUCAAAUAAUACUAUUUUUAAAUAUUUAAAAAUACAAUAUGAAAGUUUACUCGGGGAGAAGAACUAUAAAGUCAAUAACCUCGAACCCCCUUCCGGUCGUAAAAACGGUACCGGUUUCCAGUACAGCGAGUAGCAGUAUUAAUAUUGGUUCCACUAUUUCAAUUAACAAGUAAAAUCGAGGUUAAAUUUUUUUUUUUAAAACGUCAUGAAGACCAAAAGAGCUUAACGAAAGUGACGAGCUAUGGAGACAUAAUUUUAUUUCGAGAAUAAAGUACACCCUGUUGCAUAAAUAAACGAGUCCGCGUGCGACGCCCAAGUACUAUGGUCGGCGGCUGCAGCAAUACGAGAAAAUCCCUUACAUACCACCACCACCGGGUUUAUUGAACUCCCGAGCAGAGAAAUACCACAGGCGGUCGUCAUGGCGACGGCGGCUAACGGUGUGGGGUGAGGUCGAGGAGGAGUUUAUGGUUCAGACGGCGACAACUGUGUUAUUGAUCUCUUCACCAUUAGCGCGCAUACACUACCCCUUCGUGCAGCAAAAACUCGGCUAGAAACACAUUUAUAAAAAUAAACCCAACGCAAAAUAGUUACUCUUUCUUUUCACUCGGAUUUCGAUAGGGUUGAAAAACUGCAAAUACACGCCCAACCUCAUUUCUAAGCCAGAUUACAGAGGGAGGGGAGGUGUUUCCACCACCAAGCACUUAAAACCGUAGCAGUGUAGUACCACCGUACACAACAAAAAACACAGCCCAUGCCGGUCUUGCCUAACUUGCUCGCCUCGAUAUCCUAUCCCAAUCUUUUUACUCUUUUCUGUAAUUGUUUCAUCGAAACAACCACCACCCACACACUGAACGAAAAUUAUUUUUAAAUAUCAAAUGUCGUAUGGUCGAGUAGUUAAGUAGCUACAACUGUAACCACUGUUAUUCGGCGAUAAGUUAAGCACUCGAUUGAACGAUAAUCGGAUCCCAAUUAUUAGUAAUUUACACGGAGCGCUUCGUGCGUCAUUAUUUUAUUAUACUACUUUGUAUGGCGGAAAAUGUAUAUUAAUAUUUAAUAUAAAGGUCAAAGUUUCGUGUGACUCGCACGACCAGUAAAAAAGUCAUUCAAUGGAAUGCGCGCUGCAUACCACGCGCCACGCGUAUUCAUCAUCAUAUAAUAUUAUUAUAUUAUAGUCGCCCGCAUAAAAAGUCCCCCUCUGCCGGCCUAUUAUAGUUCGUACUACACACAAGACCAUCUGUAUCGUGCUUCCGACGAUCGAGAUCUAUACAAGACACUAUAAUUAAUAAUAUAAACGUGUGCGCUUCCCAGAAGUAACGAACAAGAAUGUUAAAUACACAUCAACUCGAAUCGACAUGCCAGAAUAAAUCGUCGUGGGACCAUAGUUAUUCGAAUGGAAAUAAAUAAUAAUUGUAAUCAGUAAUCACUAUUCGAUAGCCGACAAAUUUUACAACGGUUCGAUGAUACCAUCCUGCGAGAAGUUAAAUUCUUUUACUUCUCCGCCAUGGCUCGCGGGACACCCGCCGACCAACACUACCAAAUAUUUUUGUAUGACAAAAGCCGAAAAAACUCAGGACGACGACGAUCCGAGUUUCUACAAUAGCGAGGAAUGUCGUUGUUAAAAAGAGCAGCGCUAACAACAAGAAAUGCCAUGUUUAAUUGAUCAAUGAAUAAGGAACGGUACAGCGUUAAAUCGAAGGGCGGCAAAAGAGGGACGGUGAGGUGCAGCAGAAGUCCACGAUAACGAAGCGGGGAUUAUUGUCGGCGGGCCUUCUCUUUCUGUCAUAAGUCGUCCUCCCAAGCACACAAUAAACGACCAUAAUGUUAUAUCAAAAAUCGUGUACAUGAUAUUACCAUUGUAAUAAUCGACACACAGCGACGAAGAAUACCAUUAAUUUUUGUCGGUAGCGGCUAAAGAGUGUGGCCGUCUUAAUAAGGAUGUACGCAAAGUGAGCUGGAAUUGAUAUACUUGCCGCGUGUACAGUACAAAUCAUAAGAGCGAGCAUUAUGAUAAUAAUUACGUUUAACGAAAAACGAUUGUGAAACGCGUAGUUUUAAAAACAUCAACUUUCUAGGGCUGAUGCGUCGAUUUAAACGCACAGACUUGAGACUCCCGCAAGGCCGUAACGUAUAAAAUAACACAACAGCGACAUCAUUAUAAUGUGAUCUACAACUCGAACGGAUAUAUUUACCAUUACAGUAUUACAUGUUAUCCACAAAAUACAAUCUGUACACAAAAAAAAAAACCGAUACAACGCAAAAUAGCGAAAACUCAAACCCGCACACGAGAUGACGGAACAAACAAAUCGCAUUGCUGUUGUUCCGAGUGCGGAAGAUGAAUGAUUUUUAUCACAACGAAUAUUACAGUGCAAUAUUAGAAUAUUAUGCGUGCCAUGAUAAUAAUAUAUGAAAGUGUGUACAUUGUAAUUACUAUGAUACACCGAAGGAACGCGCGAACGCUACGCCACGAGAAUAUAAUAAUAUUUUAAACAAUUUUAUCAUGAUCCAAUGCACAACGUCUGAAAGGUCUACUACGGCGUGCGGCGGCGGUAGUGGCGCGGAAAUAGAAGUCUCGUACACCGCGAGUCCGUGCCAGUUUCCACCGUCGCCAACAGGUUUCGCGCUAUCAGGACGAGCGAGGCGGAGGAAUGCGAAUAUAUGCGAUAGGUUAGGUUAGGUGAUUUCGCAGCCACCUUAGUAAAAAUUGAAAAACCUGACGUUCGCAGAGCUGCAUGCAUAAUCGUAUUUGUUAAUGAUAUUAAAUAACAACAAUGACACGGCACACAGCAAUAGCCAGUGGUAAGACCAAUACGUUUCAAUAACGCGCCAAAUAUCCGCGAAACACCGCACAUAAUAUCCGGUGGUCAAAGACAACACAAUUAUUAUGCACACAAUGCACUAUUGUGGUGCACCGAGCGCUGCACAGCACACGUCCACAUAUUAUUAUGAUGAUAUACGCUAGGAAUAAUAUCGUCAUUCACAAGAGAAGGGGGGGGGGGUAUUAUAUCGUCAUUAUUAUGACACGUGCGUCUAGGUUUUACAGCUAUGUAACUACACAACAAUAUAUUAUGAUUGUGUUACUACGGCGGCGGACACAACAUUAUACCGAAUAAAAAACGUCUAAACGCGGAAGAGUGAAAAAAAGACACCGUACGCGUUCGGGAUGUUUUCCAGAUACCCUGUGGCCUGUAUAAUAUAUAACAUACAUGUUUUUAUUACAUUUUAUAUGCGUUCAGAAGAUUUGGAAUAAAAAAAAAAUAGUUUCGAUAAUAUAAUAUUUUUCUUUUCGUAUACAAAGAUGUACCACUAUUGUCCGUUGAAAUUGAAAAGGUGUGGUACAUGUGUUUUAGUAUUUUUGUAUAAUGUAUAUAGUAUCGCGUAGUAAGUUGUUGUAGUUGGUUGUUUACAGCGAUAAGGAAUGCGGCAUACAAAUUCUAUAUAUAAUAUUAUUAAAUAGAAUAAUAAUAUGUAUAUUAAAUAUUACGCUUAUGGGGGAUUUUAUUUAAACAAUAAACACUGGUCUACAAACGGGCUACGUCAAAGCAAAGAAAAAAUAAAUUAUUAUCGAACACAAAUGGAACAUUUCACAGUUAAUUAUCGCGAUGACGACGACGUUUAUUGGCCGCAAUAGAUUUUUUGUAGUAAUAAAAUUUGAUUUCCCGUUCCUUCUACUGGGAUUCUCCAAGGAAAAUGAGUAUUGUAGUAACACGCUGUAGUGAUUUCACCGGAUUUCUACUUGUUACAACGUUUCCAGCACUUACAGUGAAAGCGUGUAAUACAUGGAAACCUCAUGAUGUCAGUUUUCAUAAUAAAACAUAUAUAUUUUCUGUCGACACCAAUGCGGGAAGUUUGAAUGAACAAAUGUAUUACACAUUAUGAACUUGUUGACGAAAAUCCACUACCCAGUAUAUAAUAAAAAUAAUUAUUAUUUUA
Molecule: long non-coding RNA, 4431 nt
Organism: Myzus persicae (green peach aphid)
Lineage: Eukaryota; Metazoa; Arthropoda; Insecta; Hemiptera; Aphididae
Exons: 2
Source: RefSeq, a predicted model, not a curated record